GCAACAGCCAUGAUUGUCUCAGCAGUUACUUCCAAUACCUCUUCAGCAGUCUGUGCUUCUAUUAUAGCUUUGUUCAGGUUGAUUUCCUUCAUACGAUCAGAAGGUCCUGAAAACUGGGAUAGCCUCUGAGCUAAUUGCUCCUUCAUCUUCUCCUUCUUUUCCUCAAACAUUCCACCAGCUAAUGAGCUAACUCUCUUCCGUAGAUCCCCCAUCUUAUCCUCCACAAAUCCAUCUUCAAAAUCCAAAUCUUCGUCCUCGGUAUCAAAAUCAUCUUCUGGAAUACUUUUACUUUUGACCUUGUCUUUCUUUACAAUGACUUUCUUGCUCUUUUUCUUUUUCUUCUUCUUCAAUGGCAUCACCUCCGCCAUUCUAGAAGAUAACCCUCUUGCCUCAAUCGAUUUAAGUGCAAUUUUCCUUGCCCUUACACACCAAUCCAUCCCUUCAGUGUCCUCAAGCGCUUUCGAAUUCUUCUGCUUUUUCCUCUUCUUCGGAGGUUGAAUAUCCAACGGAUCAAUCUCCCCGAGAAACUCUGCUUCCCAGUCCCCAUCAUCAUCCUCUUCUUCCACUUCUUCCUCCGAGUUACCAAUCACAG
Long non-coding RNA from Arabidopsis thaliana (thale cress), 592 nucleotides. RefSeq annotates it as other RNA. The transcript has a single exon. Lineage: Eukaryota; Viridiplantae; Streptophyta; Magnoliopsida; Brassicales; Brassicaceae. The record is from RefSeq.